This 572-nucleotide long non-coding RNA is filed under the name Fukomys damarensis (Damara mole-rat). RNAcentral's name for it is "lncRNA (ENSFDAG00000023401.1)". Lineage: Eukaryota; Metazoa; Chordata; Mammalia; Rodentia; Bathyergidae. The record is from RNAcentral.
GCCCUGCCUCGAAAGUGCAAGGUCCAGAGUUAGAUCCCUGGUGCAAAAGAAAGAAAGUAGAAAGUAGAGCUGUAGUUCAGUGGCAGAGUGCCCAUGAGUUUGAGCCCUAGCUCCACAAUAAAUAAAUAUGGGUUUUUAAAAAAGUGAACAAAGCCACCCGAGCUGGUGCAUGCCUGUAGUCCCAACUACUUGGAGGCUGAAGCGGGAGGAUCUCUGGAACCCAGGAGUUUGAGGCCAAUCUCUGCAACAUAUCAAGACCCCUGUCACAAUUUUUUUUUUUAAUCUAGGAUAAAAUAAAAAUAUGAACAAACUGGCUGGAUCAGAACCGACUUUAAAUCAGGACAGCCACAGGGCUGGGUACUUAAGGCGGAUUCUGUGGCUCGUGACCAUUCCUGGAAAGUGAUCCUGGGUACUGGACACUGGACAGGACGGCAACCCGGAAAUCCAGGCUGGCCUGCAAUCCUUAGGACAUGCCCACCAUGGGCACCCAUGUCAGGACAUCAGUCACCGCUCCUCCCUCUGCUCAAGGCCGCUCCGUCAGGAUCGAGACAUUGAUUCCAGUCACCUGUUCC